RNAcentral lists this transfer RNA (91 nucleotides) under Legionellales bacterium. RNAcentral's name for it is "tRNA-Ser". It matches the Rfam family "tRNA". Rfam says of the family: Transfer RNA (tRNA) molecules are approximately 80 nucleotides in length. The record is from RNAcentral. Lineage: Bacteria; Pseudomonadati; Pseudomonadota; Gammaproteobacteria; Legionellales.
GGAGAGGUGCCCGAGCGGUCGAAGGGGCACGCCUGGAAAGCGUGUGUGCGGCAACCCCGUACCGAGGGUUCGAAUCCCUCUCUCUCCGCCA